RNAcentral lists this ribosomal RNA (405 nucleotides) under uncultured bacterium. RNAcentral describes it as "bacterial SSU rRNA". It matches the Rfam family "Bacterial small subunit ribosomal RNA", at positions 354 to 776 of the family's 1533-position model. The record is from RNAcentral.
GUGGGGAAUAUUGGACAAUGGGGGAAACCCUGAUCCAGCCAUGCCGCGUGAGUGAAGAAGGCCUUAGGGUUGUAAAGCUCUUUCACCCGUGAAGAUGAUGACGGUAGCGGGAGAAGAAGCCCCGGCUAACUCCGUGCCAGCAGCCGCGGUAAUACGGAGGGGGCUAGCGUUGUUCGGAAUUACUGGGCGUAAAGCGCGCGUAGGCGGUAUGCAAAGUUAGGCGUGAAAGCCCUGGGCUCAACCCAGGAAUUGCGCUUGAUACUGGCAAACUAGAGUCCGGGAGAGGGUGGCGGAAUUCCCAGUGUAGAGGUGAAAUUCGUAGAUAUUGGGAAGAACACCAGUGGCGAAGGCGGCCACCUGGACCGGUACUGACGCUGAGGUGCGAAAGCGUGGGGAGCAAACAGG